CCCCACCUAACUAAUGCAAUGAAACCGGUAACAACCGUAUCCACAAAAAAUAUAUACACACAAAAAUAAUAAAUAUUAGAAUAAUGCAUGGGGGCAAAGACAUUUCGCCGAAGACUACGAAAUGAUCCAAAACUUAAAGACCCUUAAGAGACUACUAAGUCGUCGUCGAUAGCUUCAACCUUUCUUCUCUUAUCUCUCCAAUAUUUUAUUCUUAUUCUCUACCAUAUAUCCUCACCUCUCUAUUCUAUAUAAAUGCAUAAACUUGAGUCACACUGAUAAGUAAAUUAAGAAGGAAUAUUAGUUAAAUCUUCUGUAGUCUCUUCCAUGUUUCUCUUUCUCCUUCUUCUUCUUGUAUUUCCACAUAUAGAUAAUGUCCUUGGCGCACGAAUGGAACUCCAGGAGAUAAACCAUGCGGAUCCAGUGACGGUC
Arabidopsis lyrata subsp. lyrata is the source of this 429-nucleotide long non-coding RNA. RefSeq lists it as uncharacterized. The record is from RefSeq and is a predicted model, not a curated record. NCBI's taxonomy places the organism in Eukaryota, Viridiplantae, Streptophyta, Magnoliopsida, Brassicales, Brassicaceae. The transcript has 2 exons.